CAUUGGUCCAUAUUCAGUAGCUGCUGGGUUGUGUCUUGGCAGAAGGGGCAGCGGUUCAGAGGCCGGCCAGCCUUCCGCCUCCUGAUUAACACUUCACAGGCAGGAUCGCUCCCUACAGGGGUGGGGCUUUGGCUGGGAAGGCGGUGAGAGGCCAGCUCCUAUAGGGACUGGUGCCUGAACAAGGUCUGUUGGGCCAUUGGUUUGGCCAUUUCUGCUUCCUGAAUAGUAUUUUACUUCCAGCCUUGUGUGUGUGAAAGCUAAACGUGCAAGGUGAUUUUGAAAAAUUUCAAAGGCGCAAGCGAGAAAUUCUGCCAGCUUCGGAAUUUAUUUAAAUUUGUUUCUGAUGUUAGCUUUUUAGGUCACUAUUCUAAAAAAAUUUAAUGUAAGUACAGAAACUCACUAGAACAUCCUACAAGACAUACAAAUUUUAAAAAUCACUCACUCUUCCCUGUUUCACUAGAAGGUAAUUUUUUAUUUGCUCUAAGUGGACAAAAUUGUUUCCAAGGACAGUCUAGGAAGUAGGUUAUCAAAUGUAUUGGUUGUUAAUUGAGAAGAUGGUCUCCUCGAUAUUGUCACAUAGCAGGCUAGAACUCGGGGCUUUUGUGCACGGUGCCUAGUAAGCACUGCAGUGUUUGCUGCCGCGGUGGAGAGUGACAUGGAGGGAGCUGACGGUGCGAAUGGAAAGCACCUUCUCGUGGGUCCUGGGAGCCCGCUGUUCAGACGCUUGUAGACGGGCCGCUCGUUCCUGAAGAGGCUGAGGGACUAGAGGGGGUCACUUUAAAGAGGCAGUCGGUCGGGGGAAGUGUGUGGGGGGAGGCUCAGAGUUCCGUGAGCUUCUGAGCAGCACAAUCAUGUCACCGCACCGUGCCCCAGCCUGGGCCACGCGUGGAAACAUACGGGGCAGUGUCCUUUCAGAGCUGCUGUGCCUCCCAUAGCGUUUUGUCGCCAGCCGUCUUCAUUUCUGAGGGCCACCAGCAAGGUGAAGCGUUGUCCACACAUGUUCCUGACUGAACCCGAAAGAAAAGAUACAAGAGGGAAAAGCAAAAAGAAGUGAGACAGAGAGCAGAGCAGGUGCCAGGGCCACGGUCUCAGCAACCUCAGGACCCGGCACUGAGCCUGUGCUGGCCUUUCUGGGUCAUCACAGGGACUCAUUGCAAUCAGACUGUUGGCAGACGUCUGCGAAGGAAAGUGUGUGCGUGUGUGUGUAUAGUUCUACUUACAGAGAGCUUUGUAAGUAACAGAAGAGUUCUCUGUUCCGGAGCAGGUACAGGAGUAUUUCUCCUGGCUUGCCUGCUGAAGAGCUUCUAAAAGUAGGUUCCUUCCUAGUCUGAGCCCUCAGCUAUAAUAAUUUGGGGGUUAUUGCUAUUGGGAGGAGCACUGUAAACAUGGCUGGGACCUAUCUAGAGGUGAGAACCCUGAUAUCCCAGAUCUAAUCUAGAAUGCCCCUCAAGUGGACGAUGGCAUGACCUUCCUGGUGCUGUUUUGAACCUUAAAACAAUUGGCAGCUAAAACUAACCCAUGAAACCUCUGUAUUAAUGUGAAGUAGCCACAGUGAGCAUUGAUCGCCCCCAGGAAGUGCUUGCUGCGCGUGCGUACAACUUCUUGUUGGAAGAGGCAGCUCAUAAGCUGCUUGGUCCCUAUGCGUGCGCCUCCUUGUGGAGGCCACCGAGCCACCAAGGCUUGUCCACGUUGUGUUUCCUGGGGAUCCUCUCGGCUCAGGUAGAUAGGAGUCCGGGUUUUUGUUUGUUGCUGUGGUUUUUUCUCCAUUCAGUCUUGAAAGAGGAGUUUGUUGUCUCUGAAGUGUGGUGGGUGUAACCCAUCUUCCUACUGUAAGUCUCCACUUUCUUGCUUCCAAGUCCCAAGUCUUUGCUUAAAGUGAUGAAAGGAGCGUUGUUCAUCCAUCCUAGUAACUUUAGUUUUACAGAUUUUGAACAAAAUUUGGGUCUUGAACUAAUGGACCAAUGAUCUGUUUCAUGGAUAUCCUUUUAGGCAACAGUGAACAUUUGGAAUGGCUUUGUAUUUCUCAUUUGUAAAUGAAGGACAUUAAUUUUUAAGUAUUGCUGUGAUCUGAUAUGGUCCUGUUUAUAUCAUCUUUUCUCUUUUUUUAACAACUUUCUUUUUUAGAUUAUUUUUAGACUGAUAGGAAAAGUUGCAAAGAUAGUACAUGGAAUUCCCAUAUUACACCCCCACCCUCCCCACCCCUGCACCCAAUUUCCCCUGUUGUUAAUAUUGUACAUUAUACUGUGGUACAUUCAUCAUAACUAAUGAACCAGUACUGAUACAUUAUUAUUAACUGAAGUACAUCGUUUUUCACAUUUCCUUAGUUUUUACCUAAUGUCCAGGAUCCCAUCGAGGAUGCCACAUUGUAUAGAGUUCAUGAUCAUGUUGCCUCAGGCGCCUCUGGACUCUGAGAGUUUGUCAGACUUUUUUGUUAAAAUUCCUGGCAGUAGCCAUUGACAGUCACCAUGCAGCUAACACAGUCACCACAUUCACUCUGCCAUGUUAUAAAUCUGAAAGUCUUCUAUCUUCGCUGAACAUUCCCUUGACGUAUUUUCCUUGAGGCUGUUUAUAUUUAAUAUGUUAAGUUGGGACUUUUGAACUGGCGUAUAAUUGUCUCCCUCCUGUAGGUUUCUACAUCUAGCUUCCUCUCCUCUAACCUUAUGUCAUUACACGGAAACUAUUGACUGGGGCCAGCCUAGAACCAGAGCUCAUAUUUCUGUCACUGGGAUCAUCCCUAGAUUACACAGGCCUAGUGAACAUAAUUGAAUUGUCAGAGUGUCUCUGAGUGCCUACCUCUUACGGUUUUCUCAUCUCAGUCCUUACAUUUAAGAUAAUAGUGCUCCUCGGUGCCCUCCCUUCCUACAGCAGAGAGGACUUCGAGAUCGGUGAGCAGAAGGAGGAGUCUGUGGCCUUACGCAGAUGAGGGCGGUCCUUCCAGUUGGGAAUUGAAUGGCUUGGAAGGGGAAAGUGAGGCUCACAAAUAGGAGCAGUGAUUAGCGUACAGAGAGGGAGAGGAUGCAGCCGCUCCACAGCCAGAUGUUCACCGCUGGGCUCCCAGGGCCCAGGCAGAGCUGGGCACAUAGCAGUGACUCAUCCGUGUGAACGAAUGAGUGAUACAUCUUUAUUGAUCUCAGAGAGGAAGGGAGAGAGAGAGAAACAUCCAUGAUGAGAGAGAAUCAUGGAUUGGCUGCCUCCUGCACGCCCCACACUGGGAUCGAGCCCACAACCCAGGCAUAUGCCCUUGGCCAGAAUCAAAACCGGGACCCUUCAGUCCACAGACCGACGCUCCACUCACUGAGCCAAACCAGCUAGG
Molecule: long non-coding RNA, 3313 nt
Organism: Myotis daubentonii (Daubenton's bat)
Lineage: Eukaryota; Metazoa; Chordata; Mammalia; Chiroptera; Vespertilionidae
Exons: 2
Source: RefSeq, a predicted model, not a curated record